This 397-nucleotide ribosomal RNA is filed under the name uncultured bacterium. Its description in RNAcentral is "bacterial SSU rRNA". It matches the Rfam family "Bacterial small subunit ribosomal RNA", at positions 358 to 772 of the family's 1533-position model. The record is from RNAcentral.
GGAAUCUUGCGCAAUGGGCGAAAGCCUGACGCAGCCAUGCCGCGUGAAUGAUGAAGGUCUUAGGAUUGUAAAAUUCUUUCACCGGGGAAGAUAAUGACGGUACCCGGAGAAGAAGCUCCGGCUAACUUCGUUCCAGCAGCCGCGGUAAUACGAAGGGGGCUAGCGUUGCUCGGAAUUACUGGGCGUAAAGGGCGCGUAGGCGGAUAUCUAAGUCGGGGGUGAAAGCCCAGGGCUCAACCCUGGAACAGCCUUCGAUACUGGAUAUCUUGAGUUCGGGAGAGGUGAGUGGAAUGCCGAGUGUAGAGGUGAAAUUCGUAGAUAUUCGGCGGAACACCAGUGGCGAAGGCGACUCACUGGCCCGAUACUGACGCUGAGGCGCGAAAGCGUGGGGAGCAAA